This 93-nucleotide small RNA is filed under the name Mus pahari (shrew mouse). RNAcentral describes it as "sRNA (MGP_PahariEiJ_G0008363.1)". Lineage: Eukaryota; Metazoa; Chordata; Mammalia; Rodentia; Muridae. The record is from RNAcentral.
UUCAUGGGGACUUUUGGGAGCGGGGAACACUGUACCAGGCAUGACUUACGGGUAUACAAUGUGGCCUGUGACUUUCCUCCCCAUACCUGUUAC